This 582-nucleotide ribosomal RNA is filed under the name Pachycheles laevidactylus. RNAcentral's name for it is "partial 16S ribosomal RNA". It matches the Rfam family "Bacterial large subunit ribosomal RNA", at positions 1796 to 2644 of the family's 2925-position model. Lineage: Eukaryota; Metazoa; Arthropoda; Malacostraca; Decapoda; Porcellanidae. The record is from RNAcentral.
UUGCCUGUUUUUUCAAAAACAUGUCUAUAUGAAGUUAAAUAAAGUCUAUUCUGCCCAUUGAAUAAGUAUUUAAAAGGCCGCAGUAUCCUAACUGUGCAAAGGUAGCAUAAUCAUUAGUUUUUUAAUUGGAGGCUUGUAUGAACGAUUGGACAAGAGCUAAACUGUCUCUUUUUUAAAAAUUGAAUUUUAUUAUUAAGUGAAAAAGCUUAAAUGUUUAAGAAGGACGAUAAGACCCUAUAAAUCUUUAUAAAAGUAAGUUUUUAAAUAAAAAUAUUUAUUUAAAACAUUUAGAAGCUUAAAUUAUUAUGCUGGGGCGGUGUUAAUAUAAAAUAAACUGUUAAUAAGUAAAAACAAAUAUAUUUGAAAUUAAAAGAUCCUUUUUAUGGAUUUAAAGAAAAAGUUACUUUAGGGAUAACAGCAUAAUUUCUUUUGAGAGUUCAAAUCGAAAAAGAAGUUUGUGACCUCGAUGUUGAAUUAAGAAUUCCUUAUGGUGCAGCAGUUAUAAAGGAAAGUCUGUUCGACUUUUAAAUUCUUACAUGAUUUGAGUUCAGACCGGCGUGAGCCAGGUUGGUUUUCUAUCUA